UAGACAAUAAUUUUAUUUUAUCUAUCAGAACACCAAAUAUCACUAUUUUCAGAAAUUCAUACUUAAUUGUGUCUUCAUAACAUGGCCUCACAUUGGGAUGGAUGUGUGCAAUUUGGAAAGCAAAGCCCAAGAGACAACCUAAGAGACAUUCCUUCAAAAUCUCUUACUUGUUCCUCAGGAGAAUAUGUUACUUGUUUUCCUGAUCAACCUACUGUACAUCCCUGUUAUUUUUCUUAAAGCUGUUUCCCACCUUUGGUAGAAUCUGGGAAAAAUAUGUUGCUUCUACUUUAAUGCCUUUUUACAUAGUUCAGCAUUAGAGCAGGAUCUGUGUGUGAACUUAUUUUCCAUCUUUUGUGUGAUCCAGAAUAUCAACAUUAGAAAAUAAGGCCAAUAAUUCGCCUUAAAAAGUUUAGAGAAAGUUUUCCUCUAGUCAUGAUCAAGAUUUUAUGGUUUGCCACUCUUUCUGCAACAAUCCAGACCAACAUCGUGGAUCUAAAGCCCUGAAUUUAGUAGAGAAUUUGGGAUCUGAGUCCAAAUUUGAACUCUGCAGUACAGACCCAUUUCUAGUUAGCAACUGUUCUGCUGAUUUGUGUGUGUGUGUGUUUAUCCAUUUUGUUCCUUUGUUCCAAUUCUGUCAUUUUGGUCUUAUUAAAAAGUUCAGCUUAC
This is a long non-coding RNA of Cygnus olor (mute swan), 666 nucleotides long. RefSeq lists it as uncharacterized. Lineage: Eukaryota; Metazoa; Chordata; Aves; Anseriformes; Anatidae. The transcript has 2 exons. The record is from RefSeq and is a predicted model, not a curated record.